GAAGACGGCCUUCCAGCUCACCAACCGCAUCGUGUACGCGCCGCUCACACGCUGUAGGUUUGGGCCACAGGGGUUCGCAGCAAGGGGAAUGGUCAUCACUGGCACGUGAUGGCGAAGGUGUCAGCCGAGUGUGCCUAGGGCUGCAGCGUGGGUGAAGAUGCAGAGAUUGCAGACGCUUCUCUGAGUACCAUGUCCUGACCUCCCUUCUCCUCGCCAUCGCCACCGCUGGAUGUUGAACAGGCCGCGCUGUCGGCAACCUGCAGCCGCCUCAGGCCGCAGAGUACUACAGCCAGCGCACCGUGCCCGGCACGCUUCUCAUCACGGAGGCGACCAACAUCACCGCUGAGGGCCUAGGGUGAGAGCGGCUUAGCUGGGGCCGCGCGUUGGCAUACCGUGGUGUCGUUGCUGUCAUUGAUUGCGAAGCCUACAUGCAAUGACCGGGGAGCCUACAGCUUAAGAGCGGCUUUUGUUGGGAGGGUGAUGCGCCCACGGCAUACAGCCAUCGAUGCCGGCACACGCCGUUGCUGUGCGGAUGGCAGCUCAGGACCAGGCAACCCAAAACCUCAAACGCGGCCCCCUUAUGCAUGUGUGCUACCCCCCCUGCUUACCAAUGCAGCUACCUGAACACCCCCGGCCUGUACACGCCUGAGCAGCUGGAGUCUUGGAAGCCUGUGACCAAGGCGGUGCACGACAAGGGCGGCGUGUUCUUCUGCCAGCUGUGGCACACCGGCCGCGUCUCGCACAGCGGUAAGCGACCAGCAGCACAUUGUAACAAUGACGGCCAAGGGCUAGGGUGGUUGUGCUUGAUUUGGGCGUGAUAUUAGUGGUGGGUGGGUGGUGUGCUGUGGCGUCUGUUGAUUGGUUGCUUCGUGUUUGCUCGUGCGACUGGUACGUGCCUCCCACUCCUGGCUGCCCGUCCUGACCCCUGGUGCUUCCUCUCCUUGCGUGGGCCCUCAGACCUGCAGCCCGGCAACCAGCUGCCCAUCUCCUCGUCCUCCACCACCCGCAUUGCGGCUGAGGGCUACCAGGUGUACACGCCCAGCGGCCCCAAGCCCCACGAGCACCCCCGCGCAGGUGAGGUUCACUGCAAGCGCAUAUUACGCUCGCAGUUAGGGUACCUUGGACUCGCUCCAAUGGCAGGCGAAGAGACAAAGUAAAACAAUGCUGGGUCCCGAGCCUGAC
Molecule: long non-coding RNA, 1182 nt
Filed under: Chlamydomonas reinhardtii
Lineage: Eukaryota; Viridiplantae; Chlorophyta; Chlorophyceae; Chlamydomonadales; Chlamydomonadaceae
Description: long non-coding RNA (CREI_LNC000338)
Source: RNAcentral